UUCCUGUAGUUGCUAGAAUUAAGAUAAUCUUGAGUUGACAGCAAAGUUAGAACAGAGUUUCUCCCCCACAGCCAGAGAUUCAAAAUGAUUGCAAGGCUUUUGAGUAUAAGCCGAGCUCUGGCUCUUCUGCAUGUUGCCGAUGCCCAAAGCAGAGAAAGCAGGAGUCAAAUCCAGCCUCAGCUCGUCCUGUGCCAGCAGCCACCCUCCAGAGGGACUUUUCCCUCAGCACUCUGUGCAUCCUGCAGCUUUUCCUGGCUGUAAAAGAGCCCUCACAGCCACCCAGCCCUGCUGUGCCAUGUGGGGAAAUCCAGCUUUCACAGACCACCGCUGCCAGCUCUCCCACUGCAGCUCUUUUUCAAAGCGAGGAACGUUUCCAAGAAUGUAGGAAUAACAAGUUCUUUGCCAACAGCUGUACAUGAAGGCAAAAGCAAGGUAUGUCCUCCACUACCUCAUCUACCAAUAUGUAUAUUCAUUUCUGUAGUGUACAGAUGUGUGUACAAUCUGCCUGCUGAGCUGAGGAACGCAGCAGCCAGCCCUGGAAAAGGGAUGGAAGGGAUUUGAGCAGAUAACCCUUGAGUGGAUGCCUGUGUGGUGUAAGGCAGCAUAGUUUUUAGCCUGUGCAGUAAGGUCAGUGUUAUCUGAUCAAGAAAUUCCUCUCCUCUUUUCCCCUUGGGCUAGCAAGUUCACUUCCAGUCUUUUAGCAAUGUACAUUUGCCCAGCAGCAAAAGUACAGAUUCUGCAGGUAUUUCCAUCAUCCCUAUCCCAGAGUAGCUAUGAAACAGAACAAAGUCACCAGUGCUGUGGCUCUGUCCUGAUGCUGAGCUUUGGUGGGUCACCUUGGGCAGGCUGCAGUGCCGGGUUCCCCAGCUCCUUUAGGCUCAGAGAUGGUGUUUUUGCACAAAAAGAUGCUCAAGAACCUUCCACAUCUCACUGCUCAUCCUGAUAAGCGUACAGAACCAAGCUGAAGCAGGUGGGGGUAUGACACAGAAGAUUAAUGGAUCUCUUCCAACCAAAGGUUGACAUUUCAGUCAAGCACUGCUAAUGUAGGAUGCUGAUCUGAGACCCCUCUUAGCCCAAUGACGAAGUCUUUUUUUAAGUCUUCUGUGUAAAAAGUGUAAUCGUCGUAUGCCAAUGGAUCAUAUCCUGGAGAUCCCUGGAGAGCAGGGCAAAUGCAGAAAGAAAGGAAAAGGAAAUCCCUUAUUUCAUAAUGGUGCAAACGGACGUGUCAGGAGAAUUACAUCAACAUGCAGCACGUGAAAUAUAAUACUCCUCCUAAUGCAUUUAGAUGAGGCAAAAUGCAAAGUCUAUACUGCCCCUGGGAAUAAUUCUGGUAGGAAGCUUUCACCACCAGGAACCAAGGACUUUCUACUUACUCUGGAAUGUGAGCUUUUUUUUUGCAAAGCCUUCCUUGAGAGACUUCAAAAUCAAGUUUGUGAAGUGUGCAUUCCCCUUUGAAGAUGCCUUCCAGAAUGAAACACCAGUGCUCUUCCCAGUAGAGCUUGUGUAAGUUGGGAUUAGCAUGCUUAGAAACUAGCAAGCCUUCAAAGACAAGAGAGGAGAUCCUGGUCCUUCACAUUGCAGAAAGCCAAGAUAUGCACACUCAUCCCUCACCCCCUACCUAGUAUUGCUAUAGGGGUGCAUCAGAGUUGUGUGAGUUUCUACAAGGGUAGAGGGUUAUAAACCCAAGCAGUAUUUCCACUGGAGACUUUGCAGCCAGGAGGAGCCUGAGAUCUUCCGGUUGUUUUACUUUCCCCCUAUCAGACGACACGGAUGAGAUUCACUAAACGAUAGAGCUCAGAUGUGGCUUGAAUUCAGACAAGUGACUUGAAGUGAUGAUUUCCCCACCACCACGCUGCAGAUGAUUGAUGUAUUAUGCAUGAAAAUAGUGCCAGGCACAGAUGGGAUGGGAGUAGAAGGUGUGAGCUGAAAAUGACAGCAGCCAAGCUCUGCUAGAAAAUGCUCUACAACAUGCUUGCAGACUCGGCAGAAAAAAAGGAUGCAGUGUGCAUGAGACUCACCGUGGUUUAAAGGCCAAACAGUUCAAAUACCGUCAAAACUGAGGUUUAUCAAGGAUUUGAGUGGCAUGGUUGCCAGAGGGAGCAGGGGAUUAGCCUUGAGGAUUUGAGGAAGUGUCUUUCUAUCCAGUAUUCUUGAAUAGCCACAUGAAGAUGAGAGCACCAUCAUCACUGUUUCUCUGAGGACAGGGAAUCCAACAUGGUGACACGGUGCUGCAUUGGACAUUGCCUCCAGCAGGAUCCUGGCUCAUACCCAGUGCAGCACUAAGAACCUGGCACCAGACCCAAAGCUGAAACAAACCGGGAUUUCUCCAUGGACAGACAUGACAGCCUGGCCCUCGUAAAAUGUUGACCUUGAAUUGACAAUGCACUGACAGUGUCCCUAAAUCACAUUGUCACUGCCUUUAGGAGGACCUAAAGGGCUUCAGCAGAGCCAGCUUCACUACAGCUUUAAAACCAGCCCAACUCCCCCCAAACCUGUAAGUUCUCCUUCAUUCCCACUCAAGGUAACUCCAAAGUUAGAUUUUGUGCUGCAGCAGUCAGGAUCCAGGCCCAGCUGAAGCUGCACAGUUUGUCUCAUGCAUUUUCAAGGAGCUCCACAGCAAUUUUACAGAUCAAAGCAAAUCAAUAAUAUCAGAGCCCUUCCACCAUACUGCUUUCACUAAAUUACUGCAUCCCUUAAAAAAAGAAAUUGUAGCAGCACAAUGCCAGACAGACUGUCACUACCAAAUUAUGUUUAUUUAUUCUCUCCCUGGCUCUUGGCUGGCCCCAUUACCAGCAUAUCUCAGUGUCUCUCAGCCAUCAGCAUAUUUGCCUCCCUCCCUCCCUCCCCCUACCCACGGUACGUGUCUCCUCUCAAGUACAAAGCGGACUGACACGGCAAGUUUUUGAGCCUAUUUAACACCAGCUUUAUCUGAAGAGAACUAGAUCCAGUGACAGAACCUCAGAAUUAAUUACAUGAAGGUGAAUUCCUGUCACAGAGCCCGGCACAGUGUCACACAAACACUUUAACAGCCAGCCUCUGGCCCUGGGCUGCCUUUGUGCACUGUAAAGCAAUUAUUUGUACCUGCUUGCAAGGGUUGGUGCCAUUGGUGAGCAGGGCAAAGAAAAGAGUGCAUGGUUCAGGUGGAAAUCUGCACAACAAAUUUGCCCAGAGAUGAGCAGGACUAUCCCAUGAGGUUCAGAGGAGAUGAUCACAUGAGAGCAGAGAGUGCAAACCAGCAAAGCUGCAUUUCAACAUGAAGCAAGGAAAAGAAACUGUGUCCAUUCCUGCUAUGGCUUACCACAAUUCAGCUGCAAUGUGCAGUGUUCCUUCAUCUUAAGAUCAUGGAAUCAGUUGAGUUGGAAGGGACCUUUAAAGGCCAUCUGGUCCAACUCCCCUGCACUGAACAGAAACACCCACAGCUCCAUCAGGUGCUCAGAGCCCAUCCAGCCUCACCUUGAGUGUCUCCAAGGAUGGGGCACCCACCACCUCUCUGGUCUUCCUCAACAGCUACCAGACCUUGGGCAAGGAAAGAGGGACAGAGGUUGAAUACCGUGGAGAGUGAAGAGAGCUGAGGGACAUGACACUAAGAGACAUGGUUUAAUGAUGGGACUCUGUAGGCUGAUGUUUGGACUUGGUGACCUCAAAGGUCUCUUCCAAUCAAGAUGAUUCAAUGAUUCUAAUGAGUACCAGAGCAUUCAACAAGCAGUGUUGGAGACAUAUUUGCAUUUCCUGGAGGAAAAGAGCUUCCUUCAGGUCCUAACUUCUCCCUCCACUGGGGCAGCUGGGGCUGUAAGGCUCUUUAAAGAAAUUCUAGAGCCAGAUCAGAUUAACCCACAGAUUAAUCCAUCUUUGGGACUCAGGCAGAGCUCCUGGACCUCCCUGAAUGGACUGCCAGCUGUGAAAGACCUCAGGGUCACCAGAAGUGCUGAAGAGACCAAGCUAUUCUCUUGCAGAAAGACCCAUAGGCUGGCAUGUAGAGGCUGAGCUAUUGGCCAGAGGAGGCCAGGGGAACCCCGAGGAGGAAGUUUUCCAGUGCAUUGGCA
This is a long non-coding RNA of Meleagris gallopavo (turkey), 4043 nucleotides long. NCBI's taxonomy places the organism in Eukaryota, Metazoa, Chordata, Aves, Galliformes, Phasianidae. The record is from Ensembl.